AAUAGCGCUGCGAAGAGAGAGCGAGCGGGAGAGAGACAGGCAGACAAGGUGAAAGAGCGCGAGAGAGGCAGGGGCCAGCGACCUAGCUGCUUGUGCGUGCGACCCCUAGCCAAAUGCGCUGUGACGUCAGCAUGGCUGGCAAAUAAAUGUAAAUGAUUUUGCACACCAUUAUGCUUGAUAUUGGGUACUUCUGAAAUAGGUCAACUUUUCAGGCAAUUUGUCAGCGUAGCUAUAGACGAAUUGGAUUUCCAGCAACAAUUUUGAAACGAGUUGGCAGCGCUGGCGCUUGAAGAACUACCUUCGGAGCGGAGGGGGUUCGGCUGCAGGGGGUUGAACCACAUUACCAAUUGCUGCUGCAGGGGAUCUUCGUCUAUGUUAUGGUUUUCCACAGAGUUCCGAUAACAAUAACAGCCAGAUAAUAAAA
Long non-coding RNA from Drosophila virilis, 424 nucleotides. RefSeq lists it as uncharacterized. The record is from RefSeq and is a predicted model, not a curated record. NCBI's taxonomy places the organism in Eukaryota, Metazoa, Arthropoda, Insecta, Diptera, Drosophilidae.